UCUCCGUAGGUGAACCUGCGGAGGGAUCAUUAACACAUCCAAACCAAUUACCAAAACCAAACCGUGAACCAAUUUCCCAUUUUUUUAACCCCAUACCAACACUUUGACUAACAAUUGAUGAGAUCCGCAAGCGGUGUGCGUCUGCUCUCACGAGCGCGACCUCCAGCUUCUCUCAUUCAAAUUUUAUAACAAAAACCAAAGAACAACUCUUAGCAAUGGAUAUCUUGGUUCUC
Molecule: unclassified non-coding RNA, 233 nt
Filed under: plant metagenome
Description: partial contains small subunit ribosomal RNA, internal transcribed spacer 1, and 5.8S ribosomal RNA
Source: RNAcentral